AGGUUCAGUAGAUCUGUAUUUUAACAAGACCUUCCGUUGAUUCUGCUGUGUGCCAAAAUUUAAGAGCCACUACACUAGACUUUUGCAAAAGAUUGGAAACUGGGCAAAUCUGACCUUCUGACCAAGAGAAAUUAGGAACCCCGAGUCUUUAAAGAGAAGCAUGUGUCUGAAUAGGAGACAACGUGGGAAAAGUAUCAACUUUAGCAGGAAGCAUGCUGACUUACGGCCCUUUGGCCCUUUCCCCGGAAACAUGUAAUCAUGUGGAAUUGUAUCCCAACUCAGCCACUUACUAACCAUGUGGCUUUGAGCAAGUCAUUUGUUUCCCCAAAAUCAAUUUCAUCAUCUGCAAAAUGGGAAUCAUGAAAGCUGGCACAGUGCCUGGCUUAUAGAAGGUGCUAAAUAAAAAGCAACUGUUGGAACGAUGCUCCUGUCAAUCAGCAACCAGCCAUAACACUCAAUAGCCACCAAGUACCUUUCUCUCCCGUUCCCGUCGUGGACACUGAGGAACAUGCAGGCAAGGGGAAUAAUCACCUCCCAUUGUGGGGGCCGGGGGCUGCGCUGGGCUCUGUGUGUGCUCAGGGAGAAUGACAGGCUCACAGUGAUCUGAAUCCAAUGGGCACAGUUGGGGAGCGGCAAAUACAGAACCCAGCGCCAGAUCUUUGGGGACAGAGUGUCACCAAGGAAAGGCUGCCUGGCUCCUUCACAGCAACCCUCCCCUCAUCAGCCAUUCCUUUGAAAAACUUCAAGUACCACACCGACGUGCGAAGCAAAGCUAAUGAGACUUCUGAGCGCCCGCCUCCUGUCCUCAAAGAGCAGCUCGCGCCACAAGACAAAGCCUGCGGUGUCCGGCCGU
Molecule: long non-coding RNA, 853 nt
Filed under: Marmota monax (woodchuck)
Lineage: Eukaryota; Metazoa; Chordata; Mammalia; Rodentia; Sciuridae
Source: RNAcentral